UAUCCAAAAGAACAUUGCAACAGUUAUAGAUAAAAAAAACCAACCUGUUUCUUAUACUUCAUGUAUUGAUCGAGGAACCAGUGAUGAGUACCAGAUCUGUGGUAAAACCGCACAAUGCACCCGUGUUGUCAUCCAAUCCAUCAUUAUGUCAUGUAGAACGGGAGUGGGACAAGUCUAUACAUGUAGAACGGGAGUGGGACAAGUCUAUAUAUACAUAUAAACACUGUAAGCCACACACACAUUCCUAUUAUCCCUGUACAAUCUGGUGAAGAUGAAUGAUAUACUCAUAUUUCUAGUCUCCAUUGUUAUCUUUGGACUUAUUCUGUUUACCGAUGUCAGUGAAGGCAUUAUACUCUGCUGCUCCAAGAUAUCAUGCUACUCGUUUUGUCCUUGUACAAAUAGUGUUCUCUUGUGCCGUCUUGGAGAACUUUUAGGCAGCUAAAACAAAAUCAACACAAUUACGGAAUACAAGGCUUUCAAAAGAAAACUACUUGUUCUUCAAAUGCCGAAAUACGGUUUUUAUAAUAAAUUUGGAUUUCUAAGUGAAGUCAAAAGAAUGCUAUUUUUCAAAAUGGAUGUUUU
Molecule: long non-coding RNA, 582 nt
Organism: Ostrea edulis (European flat oyster)
Lineage: Eukaryota; Metazoa; Mollusca; Bivalvia; Ostreida; Ostreidae
Exons: 2
Source: RefSeq, a predicted model, not a curated record